GACAGCAGCAGCCAGGGAACACGUAGGGUGCAAGCGUUAUCCGGAAUUAUUGGGCGUAAAGAGCUCGUAGGCGGUCUGUCGCGUCUGCUGUGAAAACCGGAGGCUCAACCUCCGGCCUGCAGUGGGUACGGGCAGACUAGAGUGCGGUAGGGGAGAUUGGAAUUCCUGGUGUAGCGGUGGAAUGCGCAGAUAUCAGGAGGAACACCGAUGGCGAAGGCAGAUCUCUGGGCCGUAACUGACGCUGAGGAGCGAAAGCAUGGGGAGCGAACAGGAUUAGAUACCCGAGUAGUCCCUGUCUCUUAUACA
This 306-nucleotide ribosomal RNA is filed under the name uncultured bacterium. RNAcentral describes it as "partial 16S ribosomal RNA". It matches the Rfam family "Bacterial small subunit ribosomal RNA", at positions 507 to 808 of the family's 1533-position model. The record is from RNAcentral.